RNAcentral lists this transfer RNA (62 nucleotides) under Undinula vulgaris. RNAcentral's name for it is "tRNA-Thr". Lineage: Eukaryota; Metazoa; Arthropoda; Copepoda; Calanoida; Calanidae. The record is from RNAcentral.
UACUUUAUAAUUUAAUAAAAAUAUUAAUUUUGUAAAUUAAUCAUACCUUAGGGUUAAAGUAU